AUACGUAGGGUGCGAGCGUUGUCCGGAAUUACUGGGCGUAAAGAGCUCGUAGGUGGUUUGUCGCGUCGUCUGUGAAAUUCCGGGGCUUAACUCCGGGCGUGCAGGCGAUACGGGCAUAACUUGAGUACUGUAAGGGAGACUGGAAUUCCUGGUGUAGCGGAGAAAUGAGCAGAUAUUAGGAGGAACACCGGUGGCGAAGGCGGGUCUGUGGGCAGUAACUGACGAUGAGGAGCGAAAGCAUGGGUAGCGAACAGGAUUAGAUCCCCUGGUAGUCCAUGCCGUAAACGGUGGGCGCUAGGUGUAGGGGUUUUACACGACUUCUGUGCCGUAGCUAACGCAUUAAGCGCCCCGCCUGGGGAGUACGGCCGCAAGGCUAAAACUCAAAGGAAUUGACGGGG
This 398-nucleotide ribosomal RNA is filed under the name uncultured bacterium. RNAcentral describes it as "partial 16S ribosomal RNA". It matches the Rfam family "Bacterial small subunit ribosomal RNA", at positions 523 to 918 of the family's 1533-position model. The record is from RNAcentral.